This is a long non-coding RNA of Schistocerca serialis cubense, 972 nucleotides long. RefSeq lists it as uncharacterized. The transcript has 3 exons. NCBI's taxonomy places the organism in Eukaryota, Metazoa, Arthropoda, Insecta, Orthoptera, Acrididae. The record is from RefSeq and is a predicted model, not a curated record.
CGUUACGUUUCCUAACAAAAGAAUUUUGUCACUGACCUUUUUUUUAUCCUACUCUUUUUGUAACUAGCUGGUAGACACCGAAAGAAAGUGUAUAGAAAGAAAGUGUAUGUAAUAGCCACUAAAUCCAGUAUCCAUACUUCGGUUAGCAUAUAGGAUGUAAUUUUACAGUGCAGUGCAAUAUUUAUACUGGGGUCAAAGUCUUUGAUCCCUAACACUUGGGUACGGUCAGCAUUAAAGAACUGCAGAGAUGUAUGCCAAUUACAACAUGGUAAUUCUUCCAUAAUGAGCAUAAAGCAGCUUGGUUUAUGAGGGAUGAAAGCAGAGUGAGAACUAGUGCAAAUUUCUGUUGUUUAAUUGUAUCUACGUGUCAUCCAUCACUCUUUCAGAAGAGCCAACACCAUGUUGCGAGUGGAGGCCGAAAUGCACGAAUUUUAGCUCAAGCAGGCUGGCGUGAGGAGGGAAGAACUAUACUGACGUGAGGUCUGGAACAUGACAAGGAAUGAGAAUUCAGAAAGCGGACGUAAUUAGUUUGAUACUUAACUUUAAUUCAUUAAUGAUGAACGUUGCUCUUGAUGGUACAUAAGUCACAAUAUUAUCUGUUCAGAAUACAUUCUUGAAGUAAUUACAGUAACUGAAUAUGGCGCCUUGCUAGGUCGUAGCAAAUGACGUAGCUGAAGGCUGUGCUAAACUGUCGUCUCUGCAAAUGAGAGCGUAUGUAGACUGUGAACCAGCGCUAGCAAAGUCGGCUGUACAACUGGGGCGAGUGCUAGGGAGUCUCUCUAGACUAGACCUACCGUGUGGUGGCACUCGGUCUGCAAUCACUGAUAGUGGCGACUCGCGGGUCCGACGUAUUCUAACGGACUGCGGCCGAUUUAAAGGCUACCCUCUAGCAAGUGUGGUGUCUGCUGGUGACACCACAACUAUUAUAUACUUAUUAUAAUCUCAUAGUGCCUGUAUACUGUGCACUAUAAA